AGAGAGAGACAUGCGCGCAUAUCAAUAAGCGGAGGAAAAGAAACUAACUAGGAUUCCCUCAGUAACGGCGAGUGAAGCGGGAAGAGCUCAAAUUUGAAAUCUUAAAGGGUUUCCCUUGACGAAUUGUAGUUUAAAGAAGUGUUUUCUGUUGGAGUUUUGGUAAAAGUUCUUUGGAAUAGGACAUCAUAGAGGGUGAGAAUCCCGUAUUUGACCAUUAUCUUCCAGCUUUGUGAUACACUUUCAAAGAGUCGGAUUGUUUGGGAAUGCAGUCCAAAAUGGGUGGUAAAUUUCAUCUAAAGCUAAAUAUUGGCGAGAGACCGAUAGCGAACAAGUACCGUGAGGGAAAGAUGAAAAGAACUUUGAAAAGAGAGUUAAACAGUACGUGAAAUUGUCAAAAGGGAAGCGUUUGACACCAGUGUUGUUUUCUCGAAAAUCAAUUAAAAAUGGCCGGAUUUUGUGUUGUAUUGACUUUAUCAGCUUUCUGCACUUUUUUCUUGUCUUUUUUAAUGCACUUUUCGUUUAACAAGUCAACAUCAAUUUCUUUUGUUGUAAAAGGAGUCAUUGGAAGGUGGCUUUCCUUUCGGAGAAAGUGUUUAUAGCCUUUGGCUUCUGCAAUCGGAGAGAUUGAGGUCUGCAGCGUAGAUCCUUCGGGGUUAGAUACAUUUGUGCUAAGUUAUAGCCUUUCAUAGACAACUUGUUGACUAUGAUCAGUCAUGUAGCUUACUCGCUUAUGCUAUUUUACCUACGCUUAGGAUGUUGACAGCAGUAUAGACUGU
Molecule: ribosomal RNA, 776 nt
Filed under: uncultured Neocallimastigales
Lineage: Eukaryota; Fungi; Neocallimastigomycota; Neocallimastigomycetes; Neocallimastigales
Description: partial large subunit ribosomal RNA
Rfam family: Eukaryotic large subunit ribosomal RNA
Source: RNAcentral